Molecule: ribosomal RNA, 253 nt
Filed under: uncultured bacterium
Lineage: Bacteria
Description: partial 16S ribosomal RNA
Rfam family: Bacterial small subunit ribosomal RNA
Source: RNAcentral
UACGUAGGGCGCAAGCGUUAUCCGGAAUUAUUGGGCGUAAAGAGCUCGUAGGCGGUUUGUCGCGUCUGCCGUGAAAGUCCGGGGCUCAACUCCGGAUCUGCGGUGGGUACGGGCAGACUAGAGUGAUGUAGGGGAGACUGGAAUUCCUGGUGUAGCGGUGAAAUGCGCAGAUAUCAGGAGGAACACCGGUGGCGAAGGCGGGUCUCUGGGCCAUUACUGACGCUGAGGAGCGAAAGCGUGGGGAGCGAACAGG